CUUGAAGUCAAAUAAUUAUGGACUGAAACCUCCAUAAACUAAAAGUUGAAAAAUGGAUGAAAUUAUGAUAAUUUGACUUAUCAGUGACAUCUAAAUACUGAGCUCCUGAGGAAGGAAAUAUGAAUGAAAAUAAAACUCAGGACUCAAAGCAAGAUAAAGAAGGUUGCCUUGGAUACUGAACAUGGAACUACAGAACUUCACGUUUACCUUGCUGUAUUUUGAACUUGCUCAGGUCCCAUUCCUUUGUAUUCCUAUAUUUGUGUUUUUGGAAUGGUAACAUCUAUCUUA
Molecule: long non-coding RNA, 288 nt
Organism: Chinchilla lanigera (long-tailed chinchilla)
Lineage: Eukaryota; Metazoa; Chordata; Mammalia; Rodentia; Chinchillidae
Exons: 3
Source: RefSeq, a predicted model, not a curated record